RNAcentral lists this non-coding RNA (31 nucleotides) under Homo sapiens (human). The record is from RNAcentral. Lineage: Eukaryota; Metazoa; Chordata; Mammalia; Primates; Hominidae.
ACGCCAGCCUGCUCCAUCGGAAGCUUUGGCA